Molecule: ribosomal RNA, 254 nt
Filed under: uncultured bacterium
Lineage: Bacteria
Description: partial 16S ribosomal RNA
Rfam family: Bacterial small subunit ribosomal RNA
Source: RNAcentral
UACGUAGGGUGCGAGCGUUAAUCGGAAUUACUGGGCGUAAAGCGUGCGCAGGCGGUCUGUUAAGACCGAUGUGAAAUCCCCGGGCUUAACCUGGGAACUGCAUUGGUGACUGGCAGGCUUUGAGUGUGGCAGAGGGAGGUAGAAUUCCACGUGUAGCAGUGAAAUGCGUAGAGAUGUGGAGGAAUACCGAUGGCGAAGGCAGCCUCCUGGGCCAACACUGACGCUGAGACGCGAAAGCUAGGGGAGCAAACAGG